GGCCAGUGAUGCAACAUUCCAUGCUAAUUCCGAAGCUUCUAAUGAAGAAGACUUUUCUCAUACCAAGAUCUGCACUGAGGCC
Molecule: small nucleolar RNA, 82 nt
Filed under: Chlamydomonas reinhardtii
Lineage: Eukaryota; Viridiplantae; Chlorophyta; Chlorophyceae; Chlamydomonadales; Chlamydomonadaceae
Description: CrCD56 snoRNA
Source: RNAcentral